AUUGAACGCUGGCGGCAUGCCCUACACAUGCAAGUCGAACGGCAGCACGGGAGCAAUCCUGGUGGCGAGUGGCGAACGGGUGAGUAAUAUAUCGGAACGUGCCCAGUCGUGGGGGAUAACGCAGCGAAAGCUGUGCUAAUACCGCAUACGAUCUAUGGAUGAAAGCGGGGGAUCGCAAGACCUCGCGCGAUUGGAGCGGCCGAUAUCAGAUUAGCUAGUUGGUGGGGUAAAGGCCCACCAAGGCGACGAUCUGUAGCUGGUCUGAGAGGACGACCAGCCACACUGGAACUGAGACACGGGCCAGACUCCUACGGGAGGCAGCAGUGGGGAAUUUUGGACAAUGGGCGCAAGCCUGAUCCAGCAAUGCCGCGUGCAGGAUGAAGGCCUUCGGGUUGUAAACUGCUUUUGUACGGAACGAAACGGUCUGCCCUAAUACGGUGGGCUAAUGACGGUACCGUAAGAAUAAGCACCGGCUAACUACGUGCCAGCCGCCGCCGUAA
RNAcentral lists this ribosomal RNA (500 nucleotides) under uncultured bacterium. Its description in RNAcentral is "partial 16S ribosomal RNA". It matches the Rfam family "Bacterial small subunit ribosomal RNA", at positions 30 to 523 of the family's 1533-position model. The record is from RNAcentral.